RNAcentral lists this ribosomal RNA (89 nucleotides) under Microtus ochrogaster (prairie vole). Lineage: Eukaryota; Metazoa; Chordata; Mammalia; Rodentia; Cricetidae. The record is from RNAcentral.
CUCCUAAACUAUACUACCCUGAACAUGUUCAAUUCCAUCUGAUCUCAGAAGCUAAGCAGAGUUGGGUCUGGUUAGUACUUGAUGGGAGA